AGGGGUAACAGGAGUAGCUUGCUAUUUGCUGACGACCGGCGCAGGGAGCGAAACGCGUAUAGAAUCUACCUUAUACGGGGGGAUAGCCUUUGGAAACGAAGAUUAAUACCCCAUAGUAUUAUUUUUUGGCAUCAUUAAAUAAUUAAAGUUUCGGCGGUAUAAGAUGACUAUGCGUUCUAUUAGUUAGUUGGUAAGGUAACGGCUUACCAAGACUUCGAUAGAUAGGGGUCCUGAGAGGGAGAUCCCCCACACUGGUACUGAGACACGGACCAGACUCCUACGGGAGGCAGCAGUGAGGAAUAUUGGACAAUGGAGGCAACUCUGAUCCAGCCAUGCCGCGUGUAGGAAGACUGCCCUAUGGGUUGUAAACUACUUUUAUAUGGGAAGAAUAAGGUCUACGUGUAGAUUGAUGACGGUACCAUAAGAAUAAGCACCGGCUAACUCCGUGCCAGCAGCCGCGGUAAUACGGAGGGUGCAAGCGUUAUCCGGAAUCAUUGGGUUUAAAGGGUCCGUAGGCGGGCAUAUAAGUCAGUGGUGAAAGUCUGUGGCUUAACCAUAGAAUUGCCAUUGAUACUGUAUGUCUUGAAUUAUUGUGAAGUGGUUAGAAUAUGUAGUGUAGCGGUGAAAUGCUUAGAGAUUACAUAGAAUACCGAUUGCGAAGGCAGAUCACUAACAAUAUAUUGACGCUGAUGGACGAAAGCGUAGGUAGCGAACAGGAUUAGAUACCCUGGUAGUCUACGCCAUAAACGAUGGAUACUAGUUGUUUGGCCUUCGGACUGAGUGACUAAGCGAAAGUGAUAAGUAUCCCACCUGGGGAGUACGUUCG
This 826-nucleotide ribosomal RNA is filed under the name Dokdonia sp. BL33. RNAcentral's name for it is "bacterial SSU rRNA". It matches the Rfam family "Bacterial small subunit ribosomal RNA", at positions 65 to 888 of the family's 1533-position model. Lineage: Bacteria; Pseudomonadati; Bacteroidota; Flavobacteriia; Flavobacteriales; Flavobacteriaceae. The record is from RNAcentral.